UGCAGUCGAGCGGGGAAGGGUAGCUUGCUACCUGACCUAGCGGCGGACGGGUGAGUAAUGCUUAGGAAUCUGCCUAUUAGUGGGGGACAACAUUCCGAAAGGAAUGCUAAUACCGCAUACGCCCUACGGGGGAAAGCAGGGGAUCUUCGGACCUUGCGCUAAUAGAUGAGCCUAAGUCAGAUUAGCUAGUUGGUGGGGUAAAGGCCUACCAAGGCGACGAUCUGUAGCGGGUCUGAGAGGAUGAUCCGCCACACUGGGACUGAGACACGGCCCAGACUCCUACGGGAGGCAGCAGUGGGGAAUAUUGGACAAUGGGCGAAAGCCUGAUCCAGCCAUGCCGCGUGUGUGAAGAAGGCCUUUUGGUUGUAAAGCACUUUAAGCGAGGAGGAGGCUACCGAGAUUAAUACUCUUGGAUAGUGGACGUUACUCGCAGAAUAAGCACCGGCUAACUCUGUGCCAGCAGCCGCGGUAAUACAGAGGGUGCGAGCGUUAAUCGGAUUUACUGGGCGUAAAGCGUGCGUAGGCGGCUUUUUAAGUCGGAUGUGAAAUCCCUGAGCUUAACUUAGGAAUUGCAUUCGAUACUGGGAAGCUAGAGUAUGGGAGAGGAUGGUAGAAUUCCAGGUGUAGCGGUGAAAUGCGUAGAGAUCUGGAGGAAUACCGAUGGCGAAGGCAGCCAUCUGGCCUAAUACUGACGCUGAGGUACGAAAGCAUGGGGAGCAAACAGGAUUAGAUACCCUGGUAGUCCAUGCCGUAAACGAUGUCUACUAGCCGUUGGGGCCUUUGAGGCUUUAGUGGCGCAGCUAACGCGAUAAGUAGACCGCCUGGGGAGUACGGUCGCAAGACUAAAACUCAAAGGAAUUGACGGA
RNAcentral lists this ribosomal RNA (866 nucleotides) under uncultured bacterium. RNAcentral's name for it is "bacterial SSU rRNA". It matches the Rfam family "Bacterial small subunit ribosomal RNA", at positions 56 to 917 of the family's 1533-position model. The record is from RNAcentral.